This 215-nucleotide ribosomal RNA is filed under the name Klebsiella pneumoniae. RNAcentral describes it as "partial 23S ribosomal RNA". It matches the Rfam family "Bacterial large subunit ribosomal RNA", at positions 1 to 207 of the family's 2925-position model. Lineage: Bacteria; Pseudomonadati; Pseudomonadota; Gammaproteobacteria; Enterobacterales; Enterobacteriaceae. The record is from RNAcentral.
GGGUUGUGAGGUUAAGCGACUAAGCGUACACGGUGGAUGCCCUGGCAGUCAGAGGCGAUGAAGGACGUGCUAAUCUGCGAAAAGCGUCGGUAAGGUGAUAUGAACCGUUAUAACCGGCGAUGUCCGAAUGGGGAAACCCAGUGCAAUUCGUUGCACUAUCGUUAACUGAAUACAUAGGUUAACGAGGCGAACCGGGGGAACUGAAACAUCUAAGU